Molecule: long non-coding RNA, 1583 nt
Filed under: Calidris pugnax (ruff)
Lineage: Eukaryota; Metazoa; Chordata; Aves; Charadriiformes; Scolopacidae
Description: lncRNA (ENSCPUG00000002215.1)
Source: RNAcentral
AUGAUCUCUCUGAAUCCACCCAAAAACUACUGCCCAAAACCUUCUUCUUUUCUUCUUAUUGAGACUUUUCUAUUUUUUGGGGUCCCUCUUGUCCUAUGGCUUGUUCCUUGGGAGAAGAGACCGACCCCCACCUCUCCACACCCUCCUUCCAGGGAGUUGGAGAGAGCGAGAAGGUCUCCCCUCAGCCUCCUCGUCUCCAGGCUGAACCCCCCCAGCUCCCUCAGAAGUUCUCCAGCCCCUUCUCCUUGGUCUCCAGACCCCUCCCCAGCUCUCUCGCCCUUCCCCGGACCCUCUCCAGCCCCUCAAGGUCUUUCCUGUCAUGAGGAACCCAAAACUGGAGCCAGCCCUCGAGGUGGGACCUCCCCAGUGCCGAGUCGAGGGGGAGGAUGGAGGUUUGGGGGCAGAAAGAGUGGAGGUUUGGAGCCCAAGCAGUUGAGGUUGGCCACAAAGGGUCAAGAAUGGGGCCCAAAACUCAUCAAAGGGCUGGACAAAGAGUCAAGAUUGGGGCCAAAACUGGUGAAGGGAGGCACAAACAAUCAAGAUUUGGGCAAAAGCUGGUCAACGCUUUGGCAAAGGGUCAAGAUUUGGGCAAAAGCUGGUCAACACUUUGGCAAACGGUCAAGAUUUGGGCAAAAAUUGGUCAACGCUUUGGCAAAGAGUCAAGAUUUGGGCAAAAGCUGGUCAAGGCUUUGGCAAAGGGUCAAGAUUUGGGCAAAAGCUGGUCAACGCUUUGGCAAAGGGUCAAGAUUUGGGCAAAAGCUGGUCAACGCUUUGGCAAAGAGUCAAGAUUUGGGCAAAAGCUGGUCAACGCUUUGGCAAAGAGUCAAGAUUUGGGCAAAAGGUCAAGAUUUGGGCAAAAGGUCAAGAUUUGGGCAAAAGCUGGUCAACGCUUUGGCAAAGAGUCAAGAUUUGGGCAAAAGCUGGUCAACGCUUUGGCAAAGAGUCAAGAUUUGGGCAAAAGCUGGUCAACACUUUGGUAAACAGUCAAGAUUUGGGCAAAAGCUGGUCAACGCUUUGGUAAAGAGUCAAGAUUUGGGCAAAAGCUGGUCAACACUUUGGCAAAGAGUCAAGAUUUGGGCAAAAGCUGGUCAACACUUUGGCAAAGGGUCAAGAUUUGGGCAAAAGCUGGUCAACAGUUUGGUAAACAGUCAAGAUUUGGGCAAAAGGUCAAGAUUUGGGCAAAAGCUGGUCAACACGUUGUCAAAGGGUCAAGAUUCUCUUCUCCAACCCCAAAAGCCCCAAGUCCUUCAGCGUCUCCUCCAGACCCUCCUCAUCCUCUGCCGUCCCCUCUCCACCAGUUCCUUCUCCUUCUGCGACUGGAAAUGACCUCCCUUGAGGUUCUCCACCCUCUUCUUGAUGCCCCUCCAAGAAGAUGCCAUUGACCCUUCUUGGGCCACCGGGACCCAUCGUUGGCUCCUGGGCAUCUUGGUGGCCACCAGGACCCCCCACCCCCCCAAAACCUCUCCUGGGUUUUUUUUUGGGGGGGGGAGGGGGGUUUAAUUCCUCCCCCAGGUGAAAUCUCCCCACUCGACCUUGACCUUCAUCAGGUUCCUCUUGGUCCAACCCAAUUUUGGGGGGGUUUU